AGAGCAACUAGGCCUCAUGCCUUUAGAAUGCUUAAAGUUUGAAGAUGAACAUUGAAAGGACCAUAUUCUAAACUCCCUCUUGUCCAUUCUUUGAUUGUUAAUAGAACUUUUUGAUGUGUGUUGUCUUUGUGCUAGGGACUCUAACAUUGAGCCAAUUUGGGGAACCAUUGCCAUGGGCUUCUAAGAGAGAGAAAUCCAAG
Molecule: long non-coding RNA, 200 nt
Filed under: Lathyrus oleraceus (garden pea)
Lineage: Eukaryota; Viridiplantae; Streptophyta; Magnoliopsida; Fabales; Fabaceae
Description: Pisum sativum (pea) long non-coding RNA (PSAT_LNC027957)
Source: RNAcentral